Molecule: ribosomal RNA, 238 nt
Filed under: uncultured Actinomycetales bacterium
Lineage: Bacteria; Bacillati; Actinomycetota; Actinomycetes; Actinomycetales
Description: partial 16S ribosomal RNA
Rfam family: Bacterial small subunit ribosomal RNA
Source: RNAcentral
GGUGGCGAACGGGUGAGUAACACGUGGGUGAUCUGCCCUGCACUCUGGGAUAAGCCUGGGAAACUGGGUCUAAUACCGGAUAGGACCAUGCUUUAGUGUGUGUGGUGGUAAAGUUUUUUCGGUGUAGGAUGAGCCCGCGGCCUAUCAGCUUGUUGGUGGGGUAAUGGCCUACCAAGGCGGCGACGGGUAGCCGGACUGAGAGGUUGGUCGGCCACAUUGGGACUGAGAUACGGCCCAG